CCCGGGCCUUGUACACACCGCCCGUCACGUCAUGAAGGUCGGCAACACCCGAAGCCGGUGGCCUAACCCUUGUGGAGGGAGCCGUCGAAGGUGGGGCUGGCGAUUAGGACG
This 111-nucleotide ribosomal RNA is filed under the name uncultured bacterium. RNAcentral's name for it is "partial 16S ribosomal RNA". It matches the Rfam family "Bacterial small subunit ribosomal RNA", at positions 1373 to 1482 of the family's 1533-position model. The record is from RNAcentral.